CUACGGGCGGCAGCAGUGAGGAAUAUUGCACAAUGGGGGGAACCCUGAUGCAGCAACGCCGCGUGGAGGAUGACGCAUUUCGGUGUGUAAACUCCUUUUAUAUGUCAAGAAAAUGACGGUAGCAUAUGAAUAAGCACCGGCUAACUCCGUGCCAGCGGCCGCGGUAGUACGGAGGGUGCAAGCGUUACUCGGAAUCACUGGGCGUAAAGGACGCGUAGGCGGGUUGGAAAGUCAGGUGUGAAAUCCUACAGCUUAACUGUAGAACUGCACUUGAAACUUCUAAUCUAGAGUAUGGGAGGGGGAGAUGGAAUUAGUGGUGUAGGGGUAAAAUCCGUAGAUAUCACUAGGAAUACCUAAAGCGAAGGCGAUCUCCUGGAACAUUACUGACGCUAAGGCGUGAAAGCGUGGGGAGCAAACAGGAUUAGAUACCCCGGUAGUC
This 439-nucleotide ribosomal RNA is filed under the name uncultured bacterium. RNAcentral's name for it is "partial 16S ribosomal RNA". It matches the Rfam family "Bacterial small subunit ribosomal RNA", at positions 339 to 795 of the family's 1533-position model. The record is from RNAcentral.